RNAcentral lists this long non-coding RNA (655 nucleotides) under Helianthus annuus (common sunflower). The record is from RNAcentral. Lineage: Eukaryota; Viridiplantae; Streptophyta; Magnoliopsida; Asterales; Asteraceae.
UCAAAGGCUUUCAUGAGAUACUGGAAUUUUCAGGUACGUUCAUACAAGUUUUUGUCUUUAUUUCGAAUCUAAACUCUUUGCACUCAUGAAGAUGAAGGAACCUGAGAUCAUUGAACAUGUUGGCCUUGAUUAUGUUGAGAAUUUACAUCCAUGGCAAUUGAUGGUAUAAUGGCAGAAUUGUAAAUACCACAACCAAGGUUGAUACGGAAGAAGAUAUAUACACUAAAGAUGGAAUUGUUGAUUACAAAAACAACCCUCCUAACAGGAACACUACAGAUACUUAGAAGGCCUGCCCUUUUAUUCUUGUUGGUGUUUCAUGCCUUGGUUUAGACCCUAUCGCUUAUGUACACCUCUCGCUUUUUGAAACCAAGGUUGUUACUCAGUAUUGUUAAUUGGUUAGAUCUUUUUAUCUACGGUGAUUGAAAGUGUACAUGUGGAGGAGAAUCACAUUACUGGUCAAGUUGUUGAACGGAGAAAAUCUCAAGUUGCCGAGCCGAGCCCAGUUUUAGGUGGCAGUGCUGAAUUAUCUAAUUAUUUCCGAACAUAUUGAGCAUGGUGGCCUUCAGUUGCAAAAACCUUUGACUUUAUGAUUUUUUUCGUUGGCUUAAGUAUCAUAUUACUUAUAGGAUUUGGAGUUUUAAUUUUUAAUUAAACU